This is an RNA transcript of Oncorhynchus masou masou (cherry salmon), 8649 nucleotides long. It is a transcript of the gene named zinc finger protein 14-like, with no coding region annotated. The transcript has 2 exons. The record is from RefSeq and is a predicted model, not a curated record. NCBI's taxonomy places the organism in Eukaryota, Metazoa, Chordata, Actinopteri, Salmoniformes, Salmonidae.
UACUGUGCAGAGUCACGAUUUGAAACGUGUUACAUUGAAUUAGAAUACUAACGGUAUUUUAAUAGGAUCUAUGUUUUAGGCCACGGCCCACAGCUUCUUCUAUGGGGGGCAAGGCGUCACUGAGUUUCCCAAGCAAAAUAUUAAUUUAAACAUUUGAGUUAUCCACAGAUUUGCAGAGCACUGAUUACCUACUUUAUGUAAGAGGGAUUUGGUGAGCACAAGACGUUGCGAAUACGUCUUUUCAACAAAAAAUACGUAUUUAACGUCUUUUGCUCAUAUGAAAGGAAAAGUAUUCGAACUCGGUCAUCUCCUACCUGGGGUUUGUGAAUACGCUCAAAGUCGUAACGAACGUGUAUCGAAUGGUUUAUGCUGGAUGAUUGACAUGGGGUGAUGUUUUGAAGCCACAUCGCCUCCAUCUUGGAACUCCCCCAUAAUUGUAAAAAAAUAUAUUUUGGAAGCAAUAUAAAUGCAUUUAUUCAUAUCUGCAUUUGUUUUUGCGACGUUUAUUCUAUUACCAACACCUUAAAGGAGAAUUUCACUAUUUAGGACCCUAAUCUGUAUAUAUUAUGUAAAUGAAAUGUUGCACAACAAGGGUCUCCAACCCUGUAACUUGAGAGCUUACCCUCCAGUUGUAAUUAACCUGGUUCAGCUUAUCAACCAGCUAAUUAUUAGAAUCAGGUGUACUAUAUUAGGUUUGUAGUGAACCUACAAGAUGCUAGCACUCCAGGAACAGGUUUGAAAAGCCCGGUUAUAGAAGGUCCCAAACUGAAGAAAUGUACUUAAUUAGUCUCAUUCUGCAGGUCUUUAAUGUUGUACACAUGAAAGUGUGUCAUACCUUGAUCUUCAAGGUUAUAAUCCAUUUUGUUUAACUCUAACAAUAUUUUCCAGCGUGUAAGUUUGAUCAGAAGCGUACUAGCCAGGUUCACAAUGUGUCCAAUGUAAACUAGGGCUGGGCAAUAAGGACUAAAACUCAUCUUGAUUUCUUUCAGAUGUAUGGCUGAUUCAUGAUAUCAAAAAAGCUUUGUUGUUCAAAUAAAGUUCAAUAAAGUUCAAUACACUGCAUUUCAAACAGUCAGGAAUAAUCAAAUGAAUUCAGGGAAUGGAGAAGUAUACGUAGGCUAAAUAUAAGCCUUUGACAACCAUAAUAACAACCCACUAAUAAUUUUAUUAUUUUAUCAAAGUAGUUUAACCUGCUUUUUUGCAAUAAUCACUAAUCUGGCUUUCAAGUCUGUCUAUGAAAAUGCCCUUUUUUUGUUACAAAUGUUACCAGAACCAUGCACAUUCACUGCUAAUAACUGACCUCUUGUAGCAGGCAUAAUAGAAACUGGGUCUCAUACACAAUCUCUCAAGUACAAGCCACGUGCUAGUGAAUAUAGCCAGCUAAUCUUUACAUAUCAAGUCAUCUUGGUUCUAUUUGCUUGCUAACAAGGUAGAACAGUUGAACUGUUAUGAAUAGACCCUCCUGUCCAUCUCCAACUCUUUGAAAAGCAGCCUGUUCACUUUGUUUAGAUGUGGAUAAGAACAUGCUUAUUUCUCAGAAUGGGAUCGAGUUUGCCAAUUCCUUAUAUAAAUGUAUAUUUUUAUGAUCAUUGCACAUUUAUAAAACAGACAGCUCGCACCAUAAGUUCUUGCAGGGGGCGGCAGUGUAGCCCAGUGGUUAGAGCAUUGGACUGGUAUCCAGAAGGUUGAGAGUUCAAACCCCCGAGCUGACAAGGUACAAAAUCUGUCGUUCUGCCCCUGAACAGGCAGUUAACCUGCUGUUCCCAGGCCGUCAUUGAAAAUAAGAAUUUUUUUCUUAACUGACUUGCCUGGUUAAAUAAAGGUAAAAAUAAAAAAAAUUCAGAGCACGACAAACUGAGGAUACAUUUUCUACAUGUUCAUUGAUAUUCUCGUUUUAGCUGGGGCUGCUUUGUUCUACAUUUUCUGAGUUGGGACAUAAAAAGGGUAAAUUCUCAUCUAUUACAGUAAAAGAAUGUCUCUUAAGCGUUUCAGUGUCCAUUUGACUGAUUCUGUUGAAUCAAACCUCAAAUGCCAAUAGUGAGUUAAACUGCUUCGUGUCAGCAGUGAAUCUUUCAUCUUUGUUGUGAGUGGCAGGGGGAGGGUCUUGAUGUCUGUGCAAGUGGGAAAGUGCACACUGCGAAGGAGACUACACUAAAAAGAGACGGAACGCUCAUUUAAAACAAAUUAAAAAAUUGGGUUACAUGUAUUUAGAUCAAUACAUGAAAAACAUACAUUAAAAUUAAUUUGAUAUAUCGCCCAGCCCUACUGGAAUUAUAGAGCUUCUAAUCUACCGAGCAAGCUAAUCAUUUUUUUAUUUCAAACUACUACGCUACCAACUUGUCUGACUACGAAUACAAUGAGGCGAGGCUUAUUUAUUUGAAUCAGAAUACACAGACGAGGAUCUUUAACAGAUCGAGGAGAGGGAGAGAGACGGAGCAGAGAGGCUCAGGCAGAUAUUCAACUCGCAGCUGAGGCUCGACUCACCAUCUGGGAACUGGUGGUGUACCUGCAAUGCUAAGUGAAGCCCAUUGAAGACGAGUGCCUUUCCUGUGCGGAUUGGGACCUGCUUAUGCCAGCCUUGGAAAAUCUAGAAUUGUCCGGCGACAAGAAAACGUUGUCCCGCGAGCCCAUCAUACUGUGUAAUCAUUGACAAUCACUUUUCCAAACCUUAUAAACCGAGCAGUUGUAGAAAUGUUUUUCUGUGUACUGAAAAUGAACUAGAAGAAGAGACCUUGGCCAUAGGGACCUAAUGGUCAGCUGUCAAUAAAGUAAGUACAGGUAGUUUGUGUAUGAUAAAUAGACUUCACAGCAUUACAGUAUUAUAGGCUAUAUGGCAUGAGUCACCCAUAUGGUUAUCAGUAGAUCAACCUAGUGUUAUUCUGCUUCCGCACAGCGAGCUGAUGUUUUAAACAUUUUUUUUAGGCAAUAUAGACUUGUGGCUUACAGAGUGGUCUUGGAAUGGGAAUUGAAAAGCGAACGACUUGGAUGUUGUUUGAGACGAGUGUUACCCAGUUGUGUUGUCACCAUCUGCAACAAGUACCCCUCACCCACCGGUGUCUACACUGGAUUCAAGGAGGCAGGUGGUGCUUUCGGUAUCCUUUUGAACAACCUUCCACCGAUGGCUCAUUACCUUUUCCUCCCCUUUCUAUUCUCCUUUUUGCAUUAAUUAUUUUGUAGUUUAUUCUGCAAUUCUACUUUAUGCUGCAAAUGUAACAUGUAACAUAGCCUUAAAAUCCCCACUUGAGGUUUCUUGUGACAAAAAAAAGACUAUGCCAAAUCAGUAAUUUAUACAUCUAAGUGAAAGCAUUAUUGGUAACUGUUUUGAUAAGCAGUAUUAUUUCUGUUAACUAUAUAUAAAAAAUAUUUGUCAUUGCACUUGCCCGGGUGGUAAGGGUAACGCAUGGUAGAUCCCUGAGGUGGAACGCGUUGUGCGUGGGUUUGCCUGCUGUGGACUGGAGAGCAGCAAUCUCAGUUCUGUGAUAUCUACAGAUUCUGAUGCAGUUGUUCCAUGGGUUCCAGAUUUCAUCUACCACGUUCAUCUGUUCAAACGAUAGUACGCAAGUAUAAACACCAUGGGACCACACAGCCGUCAUACCGCUCAGGAAGGACACACGUUCUGUCUCCUAGAGAUUAAUGUACUUUGGUGCAAAAAGUGCAAAUCAAUCCCAUAACAACACCAAAAAAGCCUUGUGAAGAUGCUGGAGGGAACCGGUACGAAAGUAUCUAUAUCCACAGUAAAACGAGUCCUAUAUCGACAUAACCUGAAAGGCCGCUCAGCAAGGAAGAAGCCACUGCUCCAAACCCACCAUAAAAAUGCCCGACUACUGUUUGCAACUGCACAUGGGGACAAAGAUUGUACUUUUUAGAGAAAUGUCCUCUGGUCUGAUGAAACAAAAAUAGAACAAUUUGGCCAUAAUGACCAUUUUAAUGUUUGGAGGAAAAGGGGGAGGCUUGCAAGCCGAAGAAAACCAUCCCAUCCGUGAAGCACAGAGGUGGCAGCAUCAUGUUGUGGGGGUGCUUUGCUGCAGGAGGGACUGGUGCACUUAAAAAAACAGAUGGCAUCAUGAGGCUGGAAAAUUAUGUGGCUAUAUUGAAGCAACAUCCAAGACAUCAGUCAGGAAGUUAAAGUUUGGUUGCAAAUUGGUCUUCCAAAUGGAUAGUGACCCAUACUUCCAAAGUUGUUGCAAAAUGGUAUAAGGACAAAUAAGUCAAGGUAUUGAUGUGGCAAUCACAAAGCCCUGACCUCAAUCCUAUAGAAAAUGUGUAAGCAGAAUUUAAAGGUGUGUGCGAGCAAGGAGGCCUACAAUCCUGACUCAGUUACACCAGCUCUGUCAGGAGGAAUGGGCCAAAAUUCACCCAACGUAUUGAGGGAAGCUUGUGGAAGGCUACCUGAAACGUUUGACCCAAGUUAAACAAUUUAAAGGCAAUGCUACCAAAUACUAAUUGCGUGUAUGUAAACUUCUGACCACUGGGAAUGUGAUGAAAGAAAUAUCAGCUUAAAUAAAGCACUCCUAUUAUUCUGACAUUACACAUUCUUCAAAUAAAGUGGUGAUCAUAACUGACCUAAUACAGGGAAUUUUUACUAGGAUUAAAUGUCAGGAAUUGUGAAACUGAAUUUUUAAAUGUUUUUGGGAAAGGUGUAUGUAAACUUCCGACUUCAACUGUAUCUGUGUAAUUUAGACGGGUUGAUCGAGGGACAUGGCUAGUUUAGCUGUCUGGCUAACUCUAGGCAACCUAGCUAGCUAAUUAUAAAAUAUAAAUUGUGGGUGCCUGCAUCCGGGAACAUAAAAAAAUGACAUUACUUUUUUAGUUUGUUUAACAUUUGGAUGCUGACAGUAAUGUUAGCUAGCCAUCUUUCAGCCGCCAUCUUGGCUGGUGACAGCUGGUCUGUGGCCCUGCCCAGAAAGACCAUAAGGCCUAUUUUGUGGGUUUUGAGGUAGACUUGAUCCCCAACAGAUAUUCUAAGCUAUUUUCACGUUCCUUCCUAGCGACGAAAUGAAACAUUAGUUCACAAUGUUCAUUCACAUAUUAGUGUUAUUUAACAUCAUAAAUCAUAGGAAUUUGACGUUUUUAGUGUAGCAUGAUAGCAGGUCAGGCGUCUGAGGCUUUAAGAUUCUUUGGGAGAAUCUGAUAAAUAGGCACCCUGGUUAGACUGCUCCAAACUAAAAUGCACAUAAGCGACAGUACUACACUGCCAAGCGUUUAUCCAAUAUACACUGAGUUUACAGAACGUUAAGACCACCUGCUCUUUCCAUGACAUACAGUGCAUUCGGAAAGUAUUCAGACCCCUUGACUUUUUCCACAUUUUGUUACAUUACAGCCUUAUUUGAAAUUGGAUUAAAUACUUAAGUAUUCAGACCCUUUACUCAGUACUUUGUUGAAGCACCUUUGGCAGCAAUUACAGCCUCAAUUAUUUUGGGGUAUGAUGCUACAAGCUUGGCACACCUGUAUUUGGUGAGUUAUUCCCAUUCUUCUCUGCAGAUGCUCUCAGGUUAGACGGAGAGUGUCGCUGCACAGCUAUUUUCAGGUCUCUCCAGAGAUGCCAGAUCAGGUUCAAGUUCGGGCUCUGGCUGGGACACUCAAGGACAUAGAGAAUUGUCCUGAAGCCACUCCUGCGUUGUCUUGGCUUGGCUGUGCGCUAAGGUUCGUUGUCCUGUUGGAAGGUGAACCUUCACCCUAGUUUGAAGAUCUCUGUACUUUGAUCCAUUCAUCUUUCCCUCGAUCCUGACGAGUCUCCCAGUCCCUGCUGCUGAAAAACAACCCCACAGCAUGAUGCUGCCACCAUCAUGCUUUACCGUCGGGAUGUUGCCAUGUUUCCUCCAGAUGUGAUGCUUGUCAUUCAGGCCAAAGAGUUCAAUCUUGGUUUCAUCAGACCAGAGAAUCUUGUUUCUCAUGGUCUGAGUACUUUAGGUGCCUUUUUGCCUACUCCAGCGGGCGGUCACGUGCCUUUUACUGAGGAGUGGCUUCCGUCUGGCCACUCUACCAUAAAGGCCUGAUUGGUGGAUUGCUGCAGAGAUGGUUGUUCUUCUGAAAGCUUCUCCCAUCUCCACAGAGGAGCUCUGAGUGACCAUUGGGUUCUUGGUCACCUCCAUGACCAAAGCCCUUCCAUGAUUGCUCAGUUUGGUCGGGCAACCAGCUCUAGGAAAAGUCUUAGUGGUUCCAAACAUCAUCCAUUUAAAAAUGGAAGCCACUGUGUUCUUGGGGACCUUCAAUGCUGCAUGACUGUUUUGGUACCCUCCCCAUGAUCUGUCCCUUGACACAAUCCUGUCUCUGAGCUCUACAGACAUUUCCAUCAACCUCAAGUCUUUGGUUUUUGCUCUAACAUGCACUGUCAACUAUGGGACCUAUAUAUAGACCGGUCCAAAUUAUGUCCAAUCAAUUGAAUUUACCACAGGUGGACUCCAAUCAAGUUGUAGAAACAUCUCAAGGAUGAUCAAUGGAAACAGGAUGCACCUGAGCUCAGUUCUGAGUCUCAGAGUAAAGGGUCUGAAUUCUUAUGUAAAUAUUUCAGUUUUUAUUUUUAAAUUGGCAGAAAAAUCAAAACCAGUUUUCGUUUGUCAUUAUGGGGUAUUGUGUGUGGAUUGAGGGAAAACAUUUUGUUUAUCCGUUUUAGAGUAAGUCUGUAAUGUAACAAAAUGUGAUGAAAGUCAAGGUGUCUGAAUACUUUCCAAAUGCACUGUAGACUGACCAGGUGAAUCCAGGUGAAAGCUAUGAUCCCUUAUUGAAGUAGAUUUAACAAGUGACAUCAAUCAGUGUAGAUGGUGUGGAGGACACUGGUUAGAGAUGCCUUGAGACAAUUGAGACAUGGAUUGUGUAUGUGUGCCAUUCAGAGGGUGAGUGGGCAAGACAAAAUAUUUAAGUGCCUUUGAAUGGGGUAUGGUAGUAGGUGCCAGGUGCACCGGUUUGUGUCAAACUAACACUGCUGAGUUUUUCACGCUCAACAGUUUCCUGUGUGUACCAAGAAUGGUCCACCGCCCAAAGGACAUCCAGCCAACUUGACACAACUGGGACGCAUUGGCGUCAACAUGAGCCAACAUCCCCGUGGAACGCUUUCGACACCUUGUAGAGUCCAUGCCCAAACCAAUUGAGUCUGUUUUGAGGGCAAAAGGGGGGAAGGGGGUGCAACUCAAUAUUAGACCUACAUCAGCUCUAUCUCCCAGAUGAGGUGUCUCCUGAGCGGCAGCACUGUGAGCAGGAGUGGAGCCCCAGUCUGAAGCAAGAGGACCCAGAGCCCUCACAGAUUAAAGAGGAACAUGAAGUCUGGACUAGUCAGGGGGGAGAACAGCUUAAAGAGCUAGAGUCUGAUACCAAGGAGUUCAUAUUCACUCCCUCUGUGGAAAAUCUGGAACCACCUCAGACCUCACAUCUUUUCCAAAUGCAAAUUGUGGUCUCACCCACCAGUACAACUAAAGAGAUCAAGAUGAAACCAUGUCACAUUGGUGAAAACUCUUCUUGUCAUGUUUGUGGUAAAGGUUUUGACUGUAAAUCUGGUCUGGAAAGGCACAUGAGGGCUCAUACUGGUGAAAAACCUUAUUGCUGCAGUGAAUGUGGCAAAUGCUAUAGUCAGAUAGGAAAUCUGAAAGUGCAUAUGAGGGGGCACACAGGGGAGAGAUCAUACAGAUGCUUUUUGUGUGGAGAAUACUUCAUCACAGCAUCCCAAUUAAAAUCACAUAAAAUCACUCACACGCAGGGGAGUAAUAUAAUCCCGGGGACAUCCAAAAGCAAAUCUCGUUUGUAUGCUGGUAACAGUCGUGAGACUAGGGAGGGGCCGUAUCAGUGCAAGGAAUGUGUUAAAUCCUUCAGGCAGAAGAGGAACAUGUUACGGCAUAUGAGAAAUCACACAGGAGCAAUUAAUGCAGCAAAUGCUUCAACUGGAGUGUAAAAAAAAUUAUUACAUGAUUUACACAAAGGAGAACAUUUAUUUUGUGUCCUAAUGCUCCAGCAACAAAUUCAAACAAGUGAAAUCCACAUCAAUGCAAGGACUUCAGAAAAUGGUUUAGAAAGCUUGGAUUCGGAUAUCUUGAAAGUUAAAGGAGAAGGAAACAUGGGAGGAAACAUGAACGUGUCAUUUGGAUCAGUAGGAGUUGACUAAUGGACUUGUAGAACAUCAAAUUAUUUCAUUACAUUAUCACAUUUGUUGUUUUUGGCGAAGAUAUUUAGGAUUUGUAAGCAGUCUCAAACUUUUAUGAAUAAAAGUUGUACAGCUGUAUUCUAGAAUAUGGUGUGUUAAAAUGGACCAUUGAAUCUAACAUUUUGGAACCUGCGGAGGAUCACAUUCCCAGUCAAUCCCCAUCUAAAUUGAUCAUGCCUUUCUGCAAACUCCAUUAUCCUUGCGAGGCAGAUGUUUUUACAGAUGCUCUUAAACAUGACUGGCAUACAACAGUCUUUUCUGGGACCAACAUUACUGUGUUAAAAACAAAUGUAUAUUUUAAUAAAGAUGUGUUUUAAAUGGAUCUAAUUUUAAAGAACAUUUUACUUUGCUUAUGUAUAUGCCUACAGUCUGUUUUCCAUUUCCUAGUUUAAUCUCACAAUACCUUCUUCUACUUACUACAAAUACCUUGGCUGUAGUCAAUUAACCAAGACAAUGUUUGUGUCUUUAGUUUCCCUACUCAAAUACUUAAUAUCUACUCUGUAUUUAGUUGUCUUAGC